UGCCACAGCCAUAUCACCCUGCAGCCCAAGACUGGUUACUCACUGAAGCUAAGCAGGGCUGAGCCUGGUCAGUACCUGAAUGGGAGACCUAAUGGGAAAACUAGGUUGCUGCUGUUG
Molecule: ribosomal RNA, 117 nt
Organism: Danio rerio (zebrafish)
Lineage: Eukaryota; Metazoa; Chordata; Actinopteri; Cypriniformes; Danionidae
Source: Ensembl